GAUGAACGCUAGCUACAGGCUUAACACAUGCAAGUCGAGGGGAAACGAUAUUGGAAGCUUGCUUCUGAUAGGCGUCGACCGGCGCACGGGUGAGUAACGCGUAUCCAACCUGCCCAUCACUUGGGGAUAACCUUGUGAAAGUAAGACUAAUACCCAAUGACGUCUCUAGAAGACAUCUGAAAGAGAUUAAAGAUUUAUCGGUGAUGGAUGGGGAUGCGUCUGAUUAGCUUGUUGGCGGGGUAACGGCCCACCAAGGCGACGAUCAGUAGGGGUUCUGAGAGGAAGGUCCCCCCACAUUGGAACUGAGACACGGUCCAAACUCCUACGGGAGGCAGCAGUGAGGAAUAUUGGGUCCAAUGGACCGAGAGUCUGAACCAGCCAAGUAGCGUGCAGGAAGACGGCCCUAUGGGUUGUAAACUGCUUUUAUAAGGGAAUAAAGUGAGUCUCGUGAGACUUUUUGCAUGUACCUUAUGAAUAAGGACCGGCUAAUUCCGUGCCAGCAG
Molecule: ribosomal RNA, 503 nt
Filed under: uncultured bacterium
Lineage: Bacteria
Description: bacterial SSU rRNA
Rfam family: Bacterial small subunit ribosomal RNA
Source: RNAcentral